Long non-coding RNA from Spea bombifrons (plains spadefoot toad), 530 nucleotides. RefSeq lists it as uncharacterized. The record is from RefSeq and is a predicted model, not a curated record. NCBI's taxonomy places the organism in Eukaryota, Metazoa, Chordata, Amphibia, Anura, Pelobatidae. The transcript is spliced from 2 exons.
CCGCCCCUGAUCUUAUACAUUAUAUUCUAUAAAUUCUACAUAUGACACACAAGGCUCGCCGAUGUCCAGGGCCGGACCGGCAAUAACGCAGCAGCCGCUGGAUGAAUAAGUGCAGCCGGCGGCGUGAUAUGCCCGGCCAUGCGCUACCUUUCUAUGCCAAUGGCAGAUCGGGUGAGCGCGUGUUUCCGUCAGCCAGCGGCCAACCGGCCAAUCAGACCCGUUCAGCCGGCCGGCUAGUCGCCCAUCUCGUCUUAGAUUCGGGAAGCCUAUCCCAUGUAUGUUUAAAUUCCCUCAAUGUAUUAACCUCUACCACUUCCGCUGGGAGUCUGUUCCACGUAUCUACCAAUCACAUAGUAAAGUAAAAGAGUAACAGAGAUUUUUAGUUCAGUAAAGCCAGUCACAUUUGCAACUUACAUAAACGGGGGCAACAUAAUAAUGCAAAUUGUAUUUAUUUUGUUGUAUAACAGACAGCUUGCUCUAGAUGCUAAUUUACUAUCCAGAUGCAGAAAAUGUUUGUUAUCACAGGUAUU